CCUCCUUUUCUUGGCGGGGUUCGGGCAUGCGGUCCCGGUCCCCAUAAUGUACGGAGGCAGAGGGAGAGGGCUCCGGCCCCCUCAGCGUCAUGUCUUCGGUGCUGCUGACGGUUGCCAGUUCGCCGGUUCUAUCACCAGCCAGCGCUGGGGACCAU
RNAcentral lists this small nucleolar RNA (155 nucleotides) under Myotis brandtii (Brandt's bat). RNAcentral describes it as "Small nucleolar RNA SNORA57". It matches the Rfam family "Small nucleolar RNA SNORA57". From Rfam's summary of the family: U99 belongs to the H/ACA class of snoRNAs which are thought to guide the sites of modification of uridines to pseudouridines, the target for this family is unknown. Lineage: Eukaryota; Metazoa; Chordata; Mammalia; Chiroptera; Vespertilionidae. The record is from Rfam by way of RNAcentral.